CUUCAGAGGAAUAUACUGUCCGACCAUCGCAGACAGUUUUCUGGACAAAGCAGAUGAACAAUCAUACCAAAAGGUUUCUAGGAGACAGCGACAAAAAUCCCUCAUCUUGGUGAAUCUCAUAGAUUUGGCACUGAAAGUUGGACUAAUAAUCAUCUACACAGUUGGCAUCGUAGAUG
Helicoverpa zea (corn earworm) is the source of this 176-nucleotide long non-coding RNA. RefSeq lists it as uncharacterized. The transcript is spliced from 3 exons. Lineage: Eukaryota; Metazoa; Arthropoda; Insecta; Lepidoptera; Noctuidae. The record is from RefSeq and is a predicted model, not a curated record.